This is a long non-coding RNA of Anopheles arabiensis, 727 nucleotides long. RefSeq lists it as uncharacterized. Lineage: Eukaryota; Metazoa; Arthropoda; Insecta; Diptera; Culicidae. The transcript is spliced from 2 exons. The record is from RefSeq and is a predicted model, not a curated record.
GCUUUCCGCACCUGCGAAAGGAGUUUCAAUGUUGGAGAACGUAAAUAAAUGAUUCACCGCACUGCACCGCACAGCAUUCCCCCUCGCCCUACGACUUGCUGCGCAGUUUCAAAACAACGUUUGUUACUCUGUCCAUGAUCCUAACCACUCGACGGAUGCUGGUCAUACGUCCCUUCUCGUACCAGCGCUCACCUCGUUUCAGCUGGAUCGAUGGGUCUACGUUAAACUCCUGGCGGAAGUACUUUCGCCAGAUGUAAUCAUCUUUGGACAGUUUGUACCAACGUUUGCAGCAUUGGCCAGCGUUCAGGACAUCGCGCGCUCGAAGUUGAAGAAAGAUUUUUAUAAACAGCGGCUCGGGCAUAAACACCCACGGGCUGUUGUCCAUGUACGUUCCCCCGUCCUCUCCGUCCUGCUCGCUGCAGCCGGAGCUUGACGAACUGUUUGACUCCACACUUUCGCGAGCACCGCGCUGAUGCACGGUCUUGCCGCGGAUCCUAUCGGCCAACGGCACAUCAUCACCGAUUUCCGCCAUGGCUUUCGUAGUUGAUUGGGAGUACGCCCCCGCUGCAGCUUUUCACACACGGUGGAGGAAGUUGCGCCGUGCACUUUCACUAUCGUUUUUCUGUCUGGUAUACUGCUGGGUUUCCUUUCUUUUCUCUCCGCUUCUCUCUUUCUAUGCGAAGUACGGUAAACGAAGCGUACGCAUGAUACAAUUGAUUUGAACAAA